This 253-nucleotide ribosomal RNA is filed under the name uncultured bacterium. RNAcentral's name for it is "partial 16S ribosomal RNA". It matches the Rfam family "Bacterial small subunit ribosomal RNA", at positions 524 to 776 of the family's 1533-position model. The record is from RNAcentral.
UACAGAGGUCUCAAGCGUUGUUCGGAUUCAUUGGGCGUAAAGGGUGCGUAGGUGGCGCGCUAAGUCAGGUGUGAAAUCUCGGGGCUUAACUCCGAAACUGCAUUUGAUACUGGCGUGCUUGAGGACUGGAGAGGAGACUGGAAUUUACGGUGUAGCGGUGAAAUGCGUAGAUAUCGUAAGGAAGACCAGUGGCGAAGGCGGGUCUCUGGACAGUUCCUGACGCUGAGGCACGAAGGCCAGGGGAGCAAACGGG